RNA transcript from Chrysemys picta bellii (western painted turtle), 4430 nucleotides. It is a transcript of the gene named interferon regulatory factor 2 binding protein 2, with no coding region annotated. The record is from RefSeq and is a predicted model, not a curated record. Lineage: Eukaryota; Metazoa; Chordata; Testudines; Emydidae.
AAAUAUAUUUUUUAAAUCAAGAUGGCAUCGUUUUAAAAAACAUUUUUGUUAAAUAGAUUUUUUUUCAGUCCUGCCUGACAUAAUUAGCCCUUCUCUCCUCAGAGCACUUCACUAACACUAGCUAGGCUGCAAAGAAGAUGGGGAAAGGAGCUAAAAGGACUCCACAGACCCCUAUUUGCAUCCCAUUCACAUGUGCAAGCCCUUGCCGCUCCCCCACCCUCGGCUGAGUAGGAGGGAGCUGACUAUUCUUGCAGCUCUUGUUGUCUUGGGACUCUUGGCAGAAGUUCAAGGAGCAGCACCAGCAGCAGCAGGCGGCCAGAGGAGAGGGCGCCGAGCGCGCAGGCGCUUCGAGGCACUGUCGAAGAAUCGAGUCACUGGAGCAGAGCGCACAGGCGGCGGCUGCUGCUGCUGGAGUCCCCGCCCCAGUGCGAGCGCCCGGGCUGCAGUAGUGAGCGAGCGAGCGGGACAGGCGGAGUGAGCAGCGCACUGGAGUAGGCAGCCCAGUGUGCAGCAACCGGGCUAUGCGCUUUCCCGCGUCCCAGUGACUCCAGCCGGGAGGCUUCCGCGCCCGGGAGCCGCUUGUUUGCAGGGGGCGGGCAAUCGGCGGAAGAUCCUGCGGCAGCUGCAAAGCCGGAGCCUGCCCGUUUGGUCUCCGGUUGCUGGAGGAGGAGGACGCGCGGGGGGCGCUCGCUGCCCCUGGGCUGGGACAUGUCGUCCGCGGCGGUGGCGGCUGCUUCCCGCAGGCAGUCGUGCUACCUGUGCGACCUGCCCCGCAUGCCCUGGGCCAUGAUCUGGGACUUCACCGAGCCCGUCUGCCGGGGCUGCGUCAACUACGAGGGGGCCGACCGGGUGGAGUUCGUCAUCGACACGGCGCGGCAGCUCAAGCGGGCUCACAGCUUCCAGGAGGGCCGGGCCCCGCCGCCGCCCCACGCCAAGCAGCCGCCGCUCAGCGCUAAGGAGAUCCUGGUGCAGCAGCAACAGCAGCAGCUGAACCACACGGCCGUGGCGGGCGACGCGGUGUCACGGCCCCCGCCGCAGCCCCUGGAGCGCUACCCGCUGGCGGCCGCCGCUUCCUCCGAGCGGCAGCCGCCCCGCCUGGGAGCCGAGUACGGGGGCAGCCGGCAGGUGAACGGGAUCCUGGUGCCCAACGGGUUCCCCAAGCCCGAGGAGCCGCCCGAGCUGAACCGGCAAAGCCCGAACCCCCGGCGGACACACACGGUGCCGCCCACCCUGGUGCCGCUGAUGAACGGAGCCUCCCUGCCCGCGCCCAUCAGCAUCAACAGCCGGGCCGCCGCCGCCUCGCUGGCUGCCAUCUCCGGGGCGGCCGCCUCCAUGCAGGUCUCCGUCUCCCAGCAGCAGCAGCCGCCACCCGGGGAGCUGGGGCACAAGCGGCCCGGCUCGGUGUCCUCCAGCAGCAGCAGCAGCGCCGGCGCUGGCGAGCACGAGAGCAAGGAGAAGCAGCCACGGGGCUCGGCGGAGGAGCUGGGGGUCGAGGGCAAGGGCCGCGGGGGAGCGGAACAGGAGUGGCUGGGCAAGCCCAAGACGGUGCGGGACACGCUGCUGGCGCUGCACCAGCACGGGGGCCACGCGGUGCCCUUCGAGAGCAAGUUCAAGAAGGAGCCCGGCAUGGCGGGGAGCAGGCUGCUGGGGUACGAGAGCAACGGGGCCGUGGCCAAAGCAGGGGCUCGGGCAGCGAGGAAGAGGAAGCCUUCCCCAGAACCAGAAGGUGAAGCUGGACCCCCUAAGAUCAAUGGAGAGUCACAACCCUGGUUGCCAACCUCAUCAGAGGGGAUGAAAAUGUCCAUGACUGCUACAUCGUUCAUGUCCCCACCACCACCAACUGCCUCGCCUCAUUCCAACCGGACCACACCGCCUGAAGCAGCCCAGAAUGGCCAGUCUCCUAUGGCUGCGCUCAUUUUAGUAGCAGACAAUGCAGGGGGCAACCACUCCUCCAAAGAUGCCAACCAAGUUCACUCCACCACCAGGAGGAAUAGCAACAGCCCGCCCUCUCCGUCCUCUAUGAACCAAAGAAGGCUGGGUCCAAGCAGGGAGGUGCCAAGUCAGGGGACAAACACUGCUGGGGGAUUGGAGCCGGUGCAUCCUGCCAGCCUCCCGGACUCGUCUCUAGCAGCCAGUGUUCCCUUGUGCUGCACCCUGUGCCACGAGCGCCUGGAAGACACCCAUUUUGUUCAGUGCCCCUCAGUCCCUUCCCACAAGUUCUGCUUCCCUUGCUCCAGACAAAGCAUCAAACAGCAAGGAGCUAGUGGCGAGGUGUAUUGUCCCAGUGGGGAGAAAUGCCCUCUGGUGGGCUCCAAUGUCCCUUGGGCUUUCAUGCAGGGGGAGAUUGCAACCAUUCUUGCAGGAGAUGUGAAAGUGAAAAAAGAGAGAGACUCGUGACUUUUUCCAGUUCACAACCCAACAUCACCUGUAACUGAAACUGCUUGACUUGUGUAUAUAUCUAUAAAUAUAUAUAUAUAUAUCUCCAAGACAAGGGAAAUGUAGACUUCAUAAAACAUGGCUGUAUAAUUUUGAUUUUUUUGAAUACAUUGUGUUUCUAUAUUUUUUUUGAAGACAAAAGGUAGUGGCAGGUACAAGAUGGUACAAUGACAGAAGCAACUGAGAUGCUGCCAGGAUUGCCUUUGGGCAUAUCAGUGACAACCCAAAUGUGGGUGGAAGAAACUUGUAAUCUCUAUUAUGUGGGUUUUUUUUAAACAAACCUAAUACUACUUUUUUGAAAAUGAAAAAAUAAACUGGUGGAAUGAAAGCAAUUAGGGUUUCACAAAAGGGGCAUGCCCCGUCUUUUUAACUACUUUGGAGUACUCUUUGUAAAGUCACUUCUUUUGAUCCAGCCUCUGCAUCAAUCAGCAAGCAGACUUUUUAAAAUAAAUCAUUAUUAGAAAUGGCUAAGUCUUAUAGUGAUGGUUUUUGUGCUGUUUAGUUCAUUAGCAACACUGCAAAACCCCUGAUGUUUAGGUGUGUUUAACUUGGUCAUAAACAAUUGUUCGGAGCAGAAACAUGACUACAAGUUCUCAUCCUUGGGGCAAAUAAUAUACAUUUUUCAAUUUUUUUAGGGGGAAAAAAAUCUGUUCAACUAACUUUAACAGUUUGGGAUGCUUUUUAAUCAAGUGUUAUGAUAAUAUUCAGGCUGCUAUUUAAUGCAGAGUAGAACUUUUUUGGAAGAUUUUUUUUAAAUGAUCAUUAUUCAUAUUUAAAGUUCAGAACUGCACAUGCACAGUCAUUUUUUAUUAAGUGUUUCAAUGAGCACACAACUAACAUUAUGUUCCUUAUUACAGGUCAAUGUAAUAUUAAAUACAGACUUGCAUGGUAAACCAAUUCAUUGAGUCAAUAUUACGCUUUAAAAUUAUACCUAUAGUUCAGAUUGGUGUCUUAUGUAAACAUGCAGACAAGUUGGAAAAAACGCACAUAUAUACAACUGUAAAGGAUACUUUGGAACACUAUGGUCUCUGUAAAUGUGUAUUUAGCACUUUAUUAAAAAAUGGAUUUCAAGCUGAUAGAUGGUAACAAGUUCUUCAGAGUUGUUUGGCAUAAUAACGCAUAGUAUGGAAGUGUAUAUGUUUUUGAUAAAGUGAUAUCCCUACUAAAAACUGCAUGAAAGGAUUGCUCUGCUGUGUUGGCCAACUGUUCAGCUUUGAGCACCUUGAGGUGAGGUGGGAAGGUAACUUUUCCCGCUACUCAAACAUAUCCUGCUUCCUGGUCUGACUGGCAUUUGUGUUGCUCUCCAAGGAGGCCUUUCACUUAACCUUUUAUCUGGAGGAAGUGUGCCAAUAUGUUGCAGCCCAUCAGUAUCUUUGGACCUGUUCUUUAAAGUAGUUCAAAGGGUGGGAAUUCUCAGGCCUUGUUGUUGUACUAGGUGAUGGUACAUAGACAACACAGGUAGAAAAGAAAUGUCAAAAAGUUACUAUACCUGCUCUGACUUCUAGUCCCGAUAUCUCAAUUGAUUCUAAUAUACAUAAUGACAUUUCAUUAUUACAAAAGUGCUUGAAACCAGUAUGCGCUUCUUUUUUUUUUAAUUUUUUUUGGCAUUUCUCAAAUUUCAGUUGAACUAAGUGUGUCUUAUUUUGUUGCUUGGUGAGUUAUGACAUCACGAUCACUUUAUUCACUAAACCAAUUUACUGUUUCCUUGGCUACAAAGUUUUUUUUUUUAAAGUGCUUUAGCUGCAACAGUGCUUCUGUUAAUAUUUUAAAACUUUUUAAAAGGUGAUAGUUUGUGUAGUAAUAAAGUAAAGUGUUUUAAUGAAGAAUGUGUGAUUCUCAAAUCUCACUUUAAUUACUCUUUUUAAAGGUUUUACUUUUUACUGGAAUAUCACCUGCACUAUGCUUUGGUUGUUUAUAAUUGCUAAACUAACACAUUACUAUUUUUACCUAUUUUUUAUCUUUGGCAUUAAAUAAAAUAUUAGGAGCUUUAUGCA